Molecule: long non-coding RNA, 221 nt
Organism: Varanus komodoensis (Komodo dragon)
Lineage: Eukaryota; Metazoa; Chordata; Lepidosauria; Squamata; Varanidae
Exons: 3
Source: RefSeq, a predicted model, not a curated record
ACCCUGGGCAGCUCCUCCUUCUUAUCUAUCCCUGGGAGAAUGGCUUCUAUCGGCAAUGAAUCUCCCAUAAGUACAAACGCAGCUGCCAACCAGAAGGGCAUCGCAGGAACAGGAAAUGACAGGGCUCUUCAGCAAUGGCUCUCGUGUGAUAGCAUCUUCAGCAUCCCUGUCCUUCUGAACUCCGAUCCUCUGAUGGAUCGGAGUUGGAUCCUCAAGAGGAA